ACCGGCGCACGGGUGAGUAACACGUAUCCAACCUGCCGAUAACUCGGGGAUAGCCUUUCGAAAGAAAGAUUAAUAUCCGAUAGCAUAUCAAGAUCGCAUGAUCUUGAUAUUAAAGAAUUUCGGUUAUCGAUGGGGAUGCGUUCCAUUAGUUAGUUGGCGGGGUAACGGCCCACCAAGACGACGAUGGAUAGGGGUUCUGAGAGGAAGGUCCCCCACAUUGGAACUGAGACACGGUCCAAACUCCUACGGGAGGCAGCAGUGAGGAAUAUUGGUCAAUGGACGAGAGUCUGAGCCAGCCAAGUAGCGUGAAGGAUGACUGCCCUAUGGGUUGUAAACUUCUUUUAUAUGGGAAUAAAACAGGGUAUGCAUACCCUCUUGUAUGUACCAUAUGAAUAAGGAUCGGCUAACUCCGUGCCAGCAGCCGCGGUAAUACGGAGGAUCCGAGCGUUAUCCGGAUUUAUUGGGUUUAAAGGGAGCGUAGGUGGAUUGUUAAGUCAGUUGUGAAAGUUUGCGGCUCAACCGUAAAAUUGCAGUUGAAACUGGCAGUCUUGAGUACAGUAGAGGUGGGCGGAAUUCGUGGUGUAGCGGUGAAAUGCUUAGAUAUCACGAAGAACUCCGAUUGCGAAGGCAGCUCACUGGACUGCAACUGACACUGAUGCUCGAAAGUGUGGGUAUCAAACAGGAUUAGAUACCCUGGUAGUCCACACAGUAAACGAUGAAUACUC
This 725-nucleotide ribosomal RNA is filed under the name uncultured bacterium. RNAcentral describes it as "bacterial SSU rRNA". It matches the Rfam family "Bacterial small subunit ribosomal RNA", at positions 94 to 818 of the family's 1533-position model. The record is from RNAcentral.